AGUCGAACGCGUUGGCCCAAUUGAUUGACGGUGCUUGCACCUGAUUGAUUUUGGUCGCCAACGAGUGGCGGACGGGUGAGUAACACGUAGGUAACCUGCCCAGAAGCGGGGGACAACAUUUGGAAACAGAUGCUAAUACCGCAUAACAGCGUUGUUCGCAUGAACAACGCUUAAAAGAUGGCUUCUCGCUAUCACUUCUGGAUGGACCUGCGGUGCAUUAGCUUGUUGGUGGGGUAACGGCCUACCAAGGCGAUGAUGCAUAGCCGAGUUGAGAGACUGAUCGGCCACAAUGGGACUGAGACACGGCCCAUACUCCUACGGGAGGCAGCAGUAGGGAAUCUUCCACAAUGGGCGCAAGCCUGAUGGAGCAACACCGCGUGAGUGAAGAAGGGUUUCGGCUCGUAAAGCUCUGUUGUUAAAGAAGAACACGUAUGAGAGUAACUGUUCAUACGUUGACGGUAUUUAACCAGAAAGUCACGGCUAACUACGUGCCAGCAGCC
Molecule: ribosomal RNA, 500 nt
Filed under: Limosilactobacillus fermentum
Lineage: Bacteria; Bacillati; Bacillota; Bacilli; Lactobacillales; Lactobacillaceae
Description: bacterial SSU rRNA
Rfam family: Bacterial small subunit ribosomal RNA
Source: RNAcentral